UGAACAGGGUGAAGCUGAAGCAAAUGACUCUGUCUCUGGUAAUGCCAUCCAUACACACAACAGUCUUGUUACUUAUUAAAUUGGUGAUGAUUUGCAGAGCGAUCAGUUUCCAAGUUGUCUUGUGAGAAUGGUCACAGCUGUUGGCAGUGACACUGAUUCAAGUUGAAGGUUUUCUAGCAAUUUCUUUCAGCUUGUUUUCUGUAAUGUACAGAUAUUAUAGUGUCAUCAUCAAUACACGCGGUCAUCUCGUCCUUUGAUACUUUGCAUGAGAUUACCUCUUGAGAAUUUUAUGCCGGAUGUAUCA
This 304-nucleotide unclassified non-coding RNA is filed under the name Hevea brasiliensis (rubber tree). Lineage: Eukaryota; Viridiplantae; Streptophyta; Magnoliopsida; Malpighiales; Euphorbiaceae. The record is from RNAcentral.